CAUCAACUUCAGAGCAGUUGACACUAAAAUACAUUACAUAGCCAAAGUGUAUGUUGGAAACAAUGAAUGUGUUCAUGUGAAAAUGUCUCAAUCUCUCCCUUGCUAUGGAGGGGAAGUGAAUCUGGAUCAGUUCCAGUAUCCCAAAAAUACAGAGAAUGAAAUCGAACCCUUCUGAAAACUUCUGAACACAUUAUUCAGUCCUCACGGAGAGACUCAUACAACACUUUUCAAUAAAGUCUUGAAGCACAA
Molecule: non-coding RNA, 249 nt
Organism: Pimephales promelas (fathead minnow)
Lineage: Eukaryota; Metazoa; Chordata; Actinopteri; Cypriniformes; Leuciscidae
Source: RefSeq, a predicted model, not a curated record